GAUGAACGCUGGCGGCGUGCCUAAUACAUGCAAGUCGAGCGAACAGAUAAGGAGCUUGCUCCUUUGACGUUAGCGGCGGACGGGUGAGUAACACGUGGGUAACCUACCUAUAAGACUGGAAUAACUCCGGGAAACCGGGGCUAAUGCAGGAUAACAUGUUGAACCGCAUGGUUCUACAGUGAAAGGCGGCUUUGCUGUCACUUAUAGAUGGACCCGCGCCGUAUUAGCUAGUUGGUGAGGUAACGGCUCACCAAGGCAACGAUACGUAGCCGACCUGAGAGGGUGAUCGGCCACACUGGAACUGAGACACGGUCCAGACUCCUACGGGAGGCGGCAGUAGGGAAUCUUCCGCAAUGGGCGAAAGCCUGACGGAGCAACGCCGCGUGAGUGAUGAAGGUCUUCGGAUCGUAAAACUCUGUUAUUAGGGAAGAACAAAUGCGUAAGUAACUGUGCGCGUCUUGACGGUACCUAAUCAGAAAGCCACGGCUAACUACGUG
This 497-nucleotide ribosomal RNA is filed under the name uncultured bacterium. Its description in RNAcentral is "partial 16S ribosomal RNA". It matches the Rfam family "Bacterial small subunit ribosomal RNA", at positions 28 to 507 of the family's 1533-position model. The record is from RNAcentral.